UACAGAGGGGGCAAGCGUUGUUCGGAAUUACUGGGCGUAAAGGGCGCGUAGGCGGCCUGUUAAGUCGAACGUGAAAUCCCCGGGCUCAACCCGGGAACUGCGUCCGAUACUGGCAGGCUUGAAUCCGGGAGAGGGAUGCGGAAUUCCAGGUGUAGCGGUGAAAUGCGUAGAUAUCUGGAGGAACACCGGUGGCGAGGGCGGCAUCCUGGACCGGCAUUGACGCUGAGGCGCGAAAGCCAGGGGAGCAAACGGG
This 253-nucleotide ribosomal RNA is filed under the name uncultured bacterium. RNAcentral's name for it is "partial 16S ribosomal RNA". It matches the Rfam family "Bacterial small subunit ribosomal RNA", at positions 524 to 776 of the family's 1533-position model. The record is from RNAcentral.